GUUGAAGCCUGAGCUGCUGGCGCUACCAAAGCCUAGAGAAUCAUCAAAGCCAAGAUCAUACAAAAUUGCUGUCCUUGGAAUACGACGAUAUAUACAGCAUGUGUGUACCUGCACUCAGACUGCCUCCUGUGGGCUUACUGGUGGAGGAGAAGGCAAAAGAAGAUCCCCCAGUCCCCACCCCACCAAAUGCUGGCCCACCACCAAAACCUGCAGGAGAAAGUAACAUGGAAGUGAAGUGGAGAACUUUCUAGAACUUGUAGGCAGUCAGACCUGGAGUUGGCUGCUGUUGCUGGGUCAAUGUGGCUGCCAUGGCAACUGCUGCAGCGUUGGGCACACUGGAGAAUGGGGCAGGUC
Solea senegalensis (Senegalese sole) is the source of this 354-nucleotide long non-coding RNA. RefSeq lists it as uncharacterized. The record is from RefSeq and is a predicted model, not a curated record. The transcript is spliced from 3 exons. Lineage: Eukaryota; Metazoa; Chordata; Actinopteri; Pleuronectiformes; Soleidae.